UGGAAACAAAAAAUUUUAAUUUUUUGUGGGGAGGGGGAGGGGAGUAGAAUGUGUGAUAAGAAUAAAGAACAAAGAUGAGGAAACUGGGGUGCAUCAGAAUAGCCCAUCCGUGCUUUGGCAUUCCCAGGGAGCCUAUAAAAGGGGGUGAACUACAGCUCCAAAACGGAGAGUCGGGGAAGUGCGCAGCAGCCGCGGCCGCUCCGCGACGCUCCCUUUGGCUACUCCUUCGCGCACUCUAAACUCACUCACUCUUUUUUGGAUUUCGUCAUCUUUUCAAAAAAUCAAUAAAAAUAUUCUGGAGCCUCCGAGGGUCCACUUCUUGGUCUCAUCCGGAUCCUCAGAUCCUCCUCUAUCAUUCCCGACAAUUGGAAAAAAUGUCUGGGGGGGUCCCUGCGGCCCAGGGGCCGCUAUUGGGGGGGCGGGUGGGGAGAGGUGGGGAAGAGAGGGGGAGGGAGUAGAGGAGGAAGAGCGCCGCAGCCUCGGCAGCUGGAGUCGGAGCAGGGGGGGGGGACAGUUUCAAAAAAUAAUUAAAAAUCGAGGAAAUAUCCUAGAAAAGCCCUUUUGGCGUGAAAACCCCAAAGAGGAAUCAGGCUUCCCGAAACGUAAGUUUCGGGUGCCAGAAAGGUCUGUAUUCCGACCCCUGGGGCUUUGAAUCCCGGGAGGAAACUUGAAGGGGUGAGCGCCGCGGCGGGAGUGUCCGGCUGCGGCCCACAAGGACAGAAACUAGGGAACGUGGUGACGAGCUGGGGGACAGACUGGAACAGGGAGCCCUGGAAAGACGCAUGGGGGGCUCCGACCUCUCCUUUAGGGGUGACCCGAUAUUCCCCCUACACACACGCCCUCCCCCCCUUCCUACCCCACCCAAAUCUCCGCACAGAGGAAGCUGGAAAGCCAAACUGUGUAAGCCUUUUUCUGGUUUACUACAUGCCAAGGACUGUGCCAAAUCAUUCACAUAAAACCAUGAGCAUGCAUCACCUUAUUUGGUCCUCCCACAGUCUAAUGGGGAAGGAAACAAGGACCCAAAUUCUCAGUGGCUACGGGAUGAGCUGGGACGCAAACACAAUAUUAGAACCCCGGCCAUCAGAGUCUAUGAUUUGUCCCUGGUUUGUGUCUCAACAAAAAGAAGUCAGAGCCUUUCUUACUUCCUUAAAUCUCCUAUAGCUCCUGGAGAUUCUACAAUGAAACUGGCAGACUCCUCCUCGUCUCUACCUGUGCUGUCUCCCUCUCUAGUCCCAGACACUGAGAGCAGGUGCCCCGUGGCCCCGUCAAGCCAGAUCACCAAGAAGACUGCAUGCCUCGCUCUAGCCUUCCUAAGAUGGGAAAGUAGACUCCUGUGUUUGAGGGAAAUUGCCUGAUUUUGAGAGAAACAUAAAGGAAUUUUUUUCCCUUAAGUGAACAUUCAGCUUGUAAAAAUGAAAUCUGGAAGAACUUCUGCAAUCUC
This is a long non-coding RNA of Cebus imitator (Panamanian white-faced capuchin), 1441 nucleotides long. RefSeq lists it as uncharacterized. The transcript has 4 exons. NCBI's taxonomy places the organism in Eukaryota, Metazoa, Chordata, Mammalia, Primates, Cebidae. The record is from RefSeq and is a predicted model, not a curated record.